CCCUUAGAUGUUCUGGGCUGCACGCGUGCUACAAUGGCGUUUCCAGCAAGUCUGCGAACCCGAGAGGGCCAGCGGAUCUUCGAAUUGGCGUCGUGAUCGGGACAGUCGAUUGCAAUUAUUUGACUCAAACGAGGAAUUCCUUGUAAUCGCGAUUCAUCAUAUCGCGCUGAAUACGUCCCUGCCCUUUGUACACACCGCCCGUCGCACCUACCGAUUGAAUGUUUCGGUGAAGAUUCCGGAUAGGACUUUUUUGAUUUAUUUCAAUUUUGUCUUAAAAGCUAUCUAAACCUCAACAUUUAGAGGAAGGUGAAGUCGUAACA
RNAcentral lists this ribosomal RNA (320 nucleotides) under uncultured eukaryote. RNAcentral's name for it is "partial 18S ribosomal RNA". It matches the Rfam family "Eukaryotic small subunit ribosomal RNA", at positions 1470 to 1796 of the family's 1831-position model. The record is from RNAcentral.